AACUCGUGACGUCCCCGCGUGACCUCACCGCUGCGGGGCGAUGGAGCGAAAAGUGAGGAAACUGAAGUCCCGGGAGAGACAGUGGCAAGGUCAAGUAGCAAAGUGCACUCAGCCCUCCCAGCAAGGAGUCUGCCACUCGCGCUUGAAGGACGUGUUUGAAGAGCUGCUUUCCCAGUGGGAUGCUGCCUUAAAGUCUUGAUUCCCUGGCACUCUUUCCUAUUACUACAUUUUAUCGGUGCUGUUUGUGUUAUGCAACGGUAGCAUCGUGUCUCCGGAAGAUAAAAAAGGUCUCGAUACAAACAUCCAUAACCUUCCACCCACUCCGUCAGGAACAACCCAAUCAAAAUAAAGUCAUGAGAAUUUAGCAUGCCUUGUUCUGUGUUUAAAAUAGAAGACAAAGUAUUUCUGUAUAUAUCGUACACCUUCCCGGUCAAGGUCUGUCAAAGAAUGAGAAAG
Molecule: long non-coding RNA, 456 nt
Filed under: Homo sapiens (human)
Lineage: Eukaryota; Metazoa; Chordata; Mammalia; Primates; Hominidae
Description: non-protein coding lnc-SNRPC-2:3
Source: RNAcentral